UAUGGUGGUGUAAGCAGCGGUUCGGCUCCUCAGCCAGAGGAGACGUCGUAAGAGGGAACCUGGUGUGAAUCCAGGACUGUCCCGCAGCGGUAA
Molecule: non-coding RNA, 93 nt
Filed under: Cyphomyrmex costatus
Lineage: Eukaryota; Metazoa; Arthropoda; Insecta; Hymenoptera; Formicidae
Source: RNAcentral